UUUAAGUGUGCUCACCACCAUAGCCCAUAUAAAAAACCAUGUGGUGUAGAAGUCUUGCAUAACCAAAGAUUGAUCAACACACCUGCCUAGUGUUAACAUCUUCCACAAGAAAGAUGGCUAGUUCUAAAGUAAUGUGGGUGUUCUGCCUCCUAGCUUUACUGGCUUUCACUUCUUGUUCUUAUCAUGUACGAGCAGAAGAUCAUGCCACCAAGGAGAAAAAUGAGGUUUCAUCGUUCCAGAUUAUAGUGCGCCACCACCUCCAGAACACUAAUCGUAAGGCCGGUACGGUCAAAUUAGGAGAGGAGUGUUAUAAUAUGGAGCACUUAGUCUAAGGCAAUCUUAUCGAACAAAGGAAGGGAUGCUAUGAUAUUGAUGCUUUAUCAUAGGACCUCUGCAAUAAUGUAUCUUACUUUUAAUUUUAUGACUAAUAAAAGGACUGCCCGCAUGUUCUCUUUGUGUUUAGCAUGAUAUUUAGUUGUCCAUCGACA
This is a long non-coding RNA of Triticum aestivum (bread wheat), 488 nucleotides long. RefSeq lists it as uncharacterized. NCBI's taxonomy places the organism in Eukaryota, Viridiplantae, Streptophyta, Magnoliopsida, Poales, Poaceae. The record is from RefSeq and is a predicted model, not a curated record. The transcript has 2 exons.